RNAcentral lists this ribosomal RNA (387 nucleotides) under uncultured Parabacteroides sp. RNAcentral describes it as "bacterial SSU rRNA". It matches the Rfam family "Bacterial small subunit ribosomal RNA", at positions 355 to 739 of the family's 1533-position model. The record is from RNAcentral. Lineage: Bacteria; Pseudomonadati; Bacteroidota; Bacteroidia; Bacteroidales; Tannerellaceae.
UGAGGAAUAUUGGUCAAUGGACGGAAGUCUGAACCAGCCAUGCCGCGUGAAGGAAUAAGGCCCUAUGGGUCGUAAACUUCUUUUUGUGGUGGAGCAAUAAGAUCUACGCGUAGGUCGAUGAGAGUACAUCACGAAUAAGCAUCGGCUAACUCCGUGCCAGCAGCCGCGGUAAUACGGAGGAUGCAAGCGUUAUCCGGAUUUAUUGGGUUUAAAGGGUGCGCAGGCGGCGCGCCAAGUCAGCGGUCAAAGUUCCGGGCUCAACCCGGUGUCGCCGUUGAAACUGGCGUGCUCGAGUGCGUGCGAGGAAGGCGGAAUGCGUUGUGUAGCGGUGAAAUGCAUAGAUAUGACGCAGAACUCCGAUUGCGAAGGCAGCUUUCCAGCGCGCUA